CUGAAGACAACUCCUCAUUUUACAAAUCACGAAGAAGUUCACCUUCAGAGAAAUCAGCCAUCUACAAUUACAACUUUAAUCAGAGAAAGCUGCUCAAUUGACAUCAACUACACGUACAUUUAUCAUUAGUACAAGAAAUGUCUGAAAUGAGAGUCAAGGAGCUGAAACCAACUCAUGAAACCAUGUUGAGCAUUGAUUAACUGGACAUCAAUCUGUAAAGCAAUCCUAGAGAACUCAGCCUUGUUAACAAAGUGGUAAGCACCACAUAUGCAGCUACUAAGGA
Molecule: long non-coding RNA, 283 nt
Organism: Asterias rubens (European starfish)
Lineage: Eukaryota; Metazoa; Echinodermata; Asteroidea; Forcipulatida; Asteriidae
Exons: 3
Source: RefSeq, a predicted model, not a curated record